CGUGAGGGAAAGGUGAAAAGAACCCCGGGAGGGGAGUGAAAUAGAACCUGAAACUAUGUGCUUACAAGCGGUCAGAGCCCGCAAGGGUGAUGGCGUGCCUUUUGGAGAAUGAUCCUGCGAGUUACGUUCAGUGGCAAGGUUAAGUUUAACGGAGCCGAAGGGAAACCGAGUCUGAACAGGGCGAUUUUAGUCGCUGGGCGUAGACGCGAAACCUGGUGAUCUAAGCCUGUCCAGGGUGAAGCUGUGGUAAGACACAGUGGAGGCCCGAACUCACCGCCGUUGAAAAGUUGGGAGAUGAGGUAGGUUUAGGGGUGAAAAGCCAAUCGAACUAGGAGAUAGCUCGUUCUCUCCGAAAUGCAUUUAGGUGCAGCCUUGAGUGUUUAAUUAUGGGGGUAGAGCACUGAAUGGACUAGGGGGCGCAUUGCUUACUGAAUCCAAUCAAACUCCGAAUACCAUAAUUCAAGAGCUCAGGAGUGAGACUAUGGGAAUUAACUUCCAUUGUCAAAAGGGAAACAACCCAGACCACCAGCUAAGGUCCCUAAUCAUAACUAAGUGGGAAAGGAGGUGGAGAUUCAUAAACAACCAGGAGGUUGGCUUAGAAGCAGCCAUACCUUUAAAGAGUGCGUAAUAGCUCACUGGUCGAGAGUCUCUGCGCCGACAAUGUAACGGGGCUAAGUUAUGAACCGAAGCUGUGGAAUUGCGCAAGCAAUUGGUAGGAGAGCGUUCUGUAGGCCGUUGAAGGAGAAGCGUAAGCAACUCUGGAGGUAUCAGAAGUGAGAAUGCAGGAAUAAGUAGCGAGAAGGGAGGCGAGAAUCCUCCCCGCCGGAAGACCAAGGUUUUCAGGGUAAAGCUUGUCUUCCCUGAGUAAGCCGGGACCUAAGCCGAGGCUAUAGUGCGUAGGCGAAUGGAAAACAGAUUAAUAUUUCUGUGCCAGUCAUAUUUUGUGAUGGAGGGACGCAGAAGGGUAUGUACGCGGAAGAACGGUAGUUUCCGUAAAAGCAUGUAGAAUGACUUGAUAGGUAAAUCCGUCAAGUUAGAUUUGAGGUGUGAUAUAUAGUCGUAAGAUGAAUGUACAAAUCCCACGCUGCCGAGAAAAGCUUCUAACGUUAAGGUAUGACUGCCCGUACCCGAAACCGACACAGGUGGUCAGGAUGAGAAAUCUAAGGCGGACAGGCUAACUCUCGUUAAGGAACUCUGCAAAAUUGCCCCGUAACUUCGGGAGAAGGGGUGCCCCUGAGUGUGAGCAUACACGCGAUGUUAAGCGCUUGGGGGUCGCAGUGAAGAGGCUCAAGCAACUGUUUAACAAAAACACAGGUCUAUGCUAAGCUGUAAGGCGAUGUAUAUGGGCUGACACCUGCCCAGUGCCGGAAGGUUAAGAGGAGGAGUGAGAGCUCCGAAUUGAAGCCCCGGUGAACGGCGGCCGUAACUAUAACGGUCCUAAGGUAGCGAAAUUCCUUGUCGGGUAAGUUCCGACCUGCACGAAUGGUGUAAUGAUUUGAGCGCUGUCUUGACGGGAGGCCUGGUGAAAUUGUAUUACCGGUGAAGAUACCGGUUACCUACAGUAGGACGGAAAGACCCCAUGGAGCUUUACUGUAGCUUGGUAUUGGGUUUUGGCAUUGCAUGUAUAGGAUAGUUGGGAAACUAUGAUGGUAUGGCGCUAGCUAUAUCGGAGUUGUCGGUGGAAUACCAACCAUUCAAUGUUGAAAUUCUAAUCUGUGGUUUGGAGCCACGGAGACAGUGCUAGGUGGGCAGUUUGACUGGGGCGGUCGCCUCCGAAAGAGUAACGGAGGCGUUCAAAGGUUCUCUCAGGUUGGAUGGAAAUCAACCGCAGAGUGCAAUGGCAUAAGAGAGCUUGACUGCGAGACUGACGGGUCGAGCAGGUGCGAAAGCAGGACAUAGUGAUCCGGCGAUUCCGAAUGGAAGGAUCGUCGCUCAACGGAUAAAAGCUACCCUGGGGAUAACAGGCUGAUCCUACCCGAGAGUCCAUAUCGACGGUAGGGUUUGGCACCUCGAUGUCGGCUCAUCGCAUCCUGGGGCUGGAGAAGGUCCCAAGGGUUGGGCUGUUCGCCCAUUAAAGCGGUACGUGAGCUGGGUUCAGAACGUCGUGAGACAGUUCGGUCCCUAUCCACUGUAGGCGUUAGAAUAUUGAGAAGAUCUGUCCUUAGUACGAGAGGACCGGGAUGGACAAACCUCUGAUGUACCAGUUGUCACGCCAGUGGCACAGCUGGGUAGUCACGUUUGGAACAGAUAACCGCUGAAAGCAUCUAAGCGGGAAACUGACUUCAAGAUAAGUAUUCU
Molecule: ribosomal RNA, 2298 nt
Filed under: metagenome
Description: bacterial LSU rRNA
Rfam family: Bacterial large subunit ribosomal RNA
Source: RNAcentral